Molecule: ribosomal RNA, 222 nt
Filed under: uncultured bacterium
Lineage: Bacteria
Description: partial 16S ribosomal RNA
Rfam family: Bacterial small subunit ribosomal RNA
Source: RNAcentral
CGGACGUGGGGAACCUGCCCUAUACAGGGGGAUAACAGCUGGAAACGGUUGCUAAUACCGCAUAAGCGCACAGAAUCGCAUGAUUCAGUGUGAAAAGCCCUGGCAGUAUAGGAUGGUCCCGCGUCUGAUUAGCUGGUUGGUGAGGUAACGGCUCACCAAGGCGACGAUCAGUAGCCGGCUUGAGAGAGUGAACGGCCACAUUGGGACUGAGACACGGCCCAA